UACGUAGGGUGCAAGCGUUGACCGGAAUUAUUGGGCGUAAAGAGCUUGUAGGCGGUUUGUCGCGUCUGCUGUGAAAUUUCGGGGCUCAACCCCGAACUUGCAGUGGGUACGGGCAGACUAGAGUGUGGUAGGGGAGACUGGAAUUCCUGGUGUAGCGGUGAAAUGCGCAGAUAUCAGGAGGAACACCGAUGGCGAAGGCAGGUCUCUGGGCCAUAACUGACGCUGAGAAGCGAAAGCAUGGGGAGCGAACAGG
This 253-nucleotide ribosomal RNA is filed under the name uncultured bacterium. Its description in RNAcentral is "partial 16S ribosomal RNA". It matches the Rfam family "Bacterial small subunit ribosomal RNA", at positions 524 to 776 of the family's 1533-position model. The record is from RNAcentral.